RNAcentral lists this long non-coding RNA (742 nucleotides) under Amazona collaria (yellow-billed parrot). RNAcentral's name for it is "lncRNA (ENSACOG00000014991.1)". The record is from RNAcentral. Lineage: Eukaryota; Metazoa; Chordata; Aves; Psittaciformes; Psittacidae.
CCUGAUGCUGUGAGAAAAUCCCACGACUGACUGCUGCUCAUCCUCCUCCGCUUGAAGUCUGUGAUUUAUCAGCAAUGAAACGGGAAAGAAAAGGGAAGUCUGCCAGGUGAUUUAGCUUGUUGCAGUAUUUUCUUCUCCUUCAGUAUAAAUAUUUAUUUUAAUAGUGAAACCCUACCCGUGUGGCAGACCGGCACAUUUCACUGUCUCGGAUCUCCCGAGCAUGGUUCUGGGUCCCCUUCGAGCAGCAGCAAUCUCUUGCUUUUCCUCUCGCUCUUGCUAAUUGUGACUAGAAGAUACCGAAUUAAAAGCCGCUGGAGGUGAGGGGAAACACCUCUCCUGCAGCCGCAGCCUUCUCCGGAUGAGGCUUCCUUACUCGCCUACAAGACAAUAGCCGAAGAAAUUAAGGAGAGGGGGGGAAAAUGACUGAUCCUACUGUAUGAGAUAAUGGAUGAGCCCGGGAUGACCUGUUUUUUUCCUUGCGGUGGAGCGGAGCUGAAGACAGAGGGCACCAGCGCCCAGCCCACAGCCCUCGCCCCGCUGCCAGCGCGCCAGCUCGGGGCGGCCGGAGAGCCGCCGGUGCCCGCUGCUCCUGGCGGGCACGGAGCCACCGCCUUGCCUCGCCAGCAGGUUAAAAGUCAGUAGGAUGACGGCUGCCUUGGCACCUUCGAGAGUGAUGCUGUAAGACUUCGCUGUAAUGUUAUUUGGAGCAACUUGGGCGCUGGUGGGGGGAAGCGCAUGCCAU